This 190-nucleotide unclassified non-coding RNA is filed under the name fungal sp. RNAcentral describes it as "partial internal transcribed spacer region". The stretch from base 1 to 46 matches the Rfam family "Eukaryotic small subunit ribosomal RNA", at positions 1786 to 1831 of the family's 1831-position model. The record is from RNAcentral. Lineage: Eukaryota; Fungi.
AAGUCGUAACAAGGUUUCCGUAGGUGAACCUGCGGAAGGAUCAUUAACACGUAUCCAACGUUAAACAACCCUGUGAACCUUGAACGUGCUCCUGCAGCCCCAUGAAAUCCCACAGUUUCCGACUGGGCAGCCGAUAAUACGGACGCCGUAAAAAACUGAACAACUGUUAACAAUGGAUAUCUUGGUUCUC